AGAGUUUGAUCCUGGCUCAGGAUGAACGCUGGCGGCGUGCCUAAGAUAUGCAAGUCGAGCGGAAACACUUCGGGUGUCGAGCGGCGGACGGGUGAGUAGCACGUGGAUAUCAACCCCAAACUGAGGGAUAAGCCAUCGAAAGGUGGUCUAAUACCGCAUGUGGCCUUCGGGUUAAAGCUUCGGCGGUUUGGGAAGAGUCCGCGCCCGAUUAGCUUGUUGGUAGAGUAAAAGCCUACCAAGGCGAUGAUCGGUAGCUGGUCUGAGAGGAUGAUCAGCCACACUGGGACUGAGACACGGCCCAGACUUCUACGGAAGGCAGCAAUUAGGAAUCUUGCGCAAUGGGGGAAACCCUGACGCAGCGACGCCGCGUGCAGGAUGAAGACCUUCGGGUUGUAAACUGCUUUUAUAAGUGAAGAUUAUGACGGUAACUUAUGAAUAAGCUUCGGCUAACUCCGUGCCAGCAGCCGCGGUCAGACGGAGGAAGCAAGCGUUAUCCGGAAUUACUGGGCGUAAAGGGUUACGUAGGCGGUUUGUUAAGCAAAACUUGAAAACGCAUAGCUCAACUAUGCGUCGGGGUUUUGAACUGGCAAACUAGAGCACGAGAGAGGUAGCUGGAAUUCCCGGUGUAGGAGUGAAAUCCGUAGAUAUCGGGAGGAACACCAACGGCGUAGGCAGGCUACUGGCUCGUUGCUGACGCUCAGUACGAAAGCAUGGGGAGCGAACGGGAUUAGAUACCCCGGUAGUCCAUGCUGUAAACUAUGGAUGCUAGCUGUAAGAGGUAUCGACCCCUUUUGUGGCAAAGCUAACGCGUUAAGCAUCCCGCCUGAGGAGUACGGCCGCAAGGCUAAAACUCAAAGGAAUUGACGGGGACCCGCACAAGCGGUGGAGCGUGUUGUUUAAUUGGAUAAGCCGAGAACCUUACCAAGGCUUGACAUCCUCCGAAUUUCUCCGAAAGGAGAGAGUGCUUUUAGAACGGAGUGACAGGUGAUGCAUGGCCGUCGUCAGCUCGUGUCGUGAGAUGUUGGGUUAAGUCCCGCAACGAGCGCAACCCUUAUAAUUAGUUGAAUUUUUCUAAUUAGACUGCCUCGGUAACGGGGAGGAAGGAGGGGAUGAUGUCUGGUCCGUAUUUCCCUUACGCCUUGGGCCACAAACACGCUACAAUGGCCGGUACAAUGGGCAGCCAAGUCGCAAGAUGGAGCAAAACCCAUCAAAACCGGUCUCAGUUCGGAUUGCAGGCUGAAAUUCGCCUGCAUGAAGCCGGAAUCGCUAGUAACCGUAGAUCAGAACGCUACGGUGAAUACGUUCUCGGGUCUUGUACACACCGCCCGUCACAUCACGAAAGUCGCCAACACCCAAAGUUCCGUUUUUACGGACCUAAGGUGGGGGAGAUGAUUGGGAUGAAGUCGUAACAAGGUA
Molecule: ribosomal RNA, 1416 nt
Filed under: metagenome
Description: bacterial SSU rRNA
Rfam family: Bacterial small subunit ribosomal RNA
Source: RNAcentral